CUAAAGACAAGUCAGUGUUCAAACACACAAUGCACUGAUUCACCUUCCCUUUCCCAUGGAGAAUUCCCAAAAGUGAAUCUCUCAGUCAGUGUGUGUGAGGCGUCCUAGCAUCACUGCACAGAGCCCAAGUAGGUUAUGUCUGGAGUAAAGCAGGGUUUGCCCUGGGCAUGGCUGGGCAGGUUCAAGGCCAAGACCAGGUGCCUGUGGCUCUGGUGAGGAUGCUGGGUUGUGCAGGUCAUGUGGGAUCCUGUGGGAUCGAGUGUCAGGCCUGGGUUCACACCAGAGUCAGCAACAGUGGAGUCUUGAGUGGCCAGCCUCCUGCUGCCCCUCUGAGGGGAUGCCCCAGAGGGCUAGGGCUCCCCCUAGGCCACCUCUGCAAGGUCCCCAGCAUCAUUUCCCCACCCUGGACCAAGCCUUACAUGUGGACCUUCAGAGACACACACCUAAACCACAGCUGGUGGGAGAGAAGCUCACCAUUGGAAGUCAACAGACCACACAAUCCAUAAGUGCAAUGGAGAAAACAGCUUGAGGACUGAAGAAAUGAAAAGUGCAAGCAAAUAACAUUUAUUAGAUUUUUUUUGAAAUUAACCUGAGCAGAAGGCAGAAAUCAUCAUUCUGAGCAAAGGUUGCCUGAUUCCAGAGACAUAGAACCUACUGGUCCAAGAGUUGUGGCAGUAUGUCCCAGUCGCCAGCCACCAAGUGGAAGCUGCAAUUACAAUUCACAGGAAUCCCCUGGAGGGCUUGAAGCCAGGCUAGGUCUUCCCAUGGUAGAAGAGCCUUUGGCAAGAACCUGGAGUUGGUGUGAAGGGACUCACCCAGAGAUGCUGCCACUCAGGAGGCUGAGAAGGGAGCUCCCACAGAUUGGAGACCAGUCUGAGCAGCACAGCAAGACUCAUGCAAAAAAUGAAAUGAAAUUAAUUAAAGAGAAUCUAG
Molecule: long non-coding RNA, 933 nt
Filed under: Heterocephalus glaber (naked mole-rat)
Lineage: Eukaryota; Metazoa; Chordata; Mammalia; Rodentia; Bathyergidae
Description: lncRNA (ENSHGLG00100025904.2)
Source: RNAcentral